This 522-nucleotide ribosomal RNA is filed under the name uncultured Glomus. Its description in RNAcentral is "SSU rRNA". It matches the Rfam family "Eukaryotic small subunit ribosomal RNA", at positions 569 to 1092 of the family's 1831-position model. Lineage: Eukaryota; Fungi; Glomeromycota; Glomeromycetes; Glomerales; Glomeraceae. The record is from RNAcentral.
AGCAGCCGCGGUAAUUCCAGCUCCAAUAGCGUAUAUUAAAGUUGUUGCAGUUAAAAAGCUCGUAGUUGAAUUUCGGGGUUAGUAGGUUGGUCGUGCCUCAGGUAUGUACUGAUCUCACUGAUUCCUCCUUCCUGACGAACCGUAAUGCCACUAAUUUGGUGUUGCGGGGAGACUGGACUGUUACUUUGAAAAAAUUAGAGUGUUUAAAGCAGGCUAACGCUUGAAUACAUUAGCAUGGAAUAAUGAAAUAGGACGUUCGAUCCUAUUUUGUUGGUUUCUAGGAUUGACGUAAUGAUUAAUAGGGAUAGUUGGGGGCAUUAGUAUUCAAUUGUCAGAGGUGAAAUUCUUGGAUUUAUUGAAGACUAACUACUGCGAAAGCAUUUGCCAAGGAUGUUUUCAUUAAUCAAGAACGAAAGUUAGGGGAUCGAAGACGAUCAGAUACCGUCGUAGUCUUAACCAUAAACUAUGCCGACUAGGGAUCGGAUGAUGUUAAUUUUUUAAUGACUCAUUCGGCGCCUUACG